Mandrillus leucophaeus (drill) is the source of this 1390-nucleotide RNA transcript. It is a transcript of the gene named tubulin alpha-1B chain-like, with no coding region annotated. The record is from RefSeq and is a predicted model, not a curated record. The transcript has a single exon. Lineage: Eukaryota; Metazoa; Chordata; Mammalia; Primates; Cercopithecidae.
GACUCUUAGCUUCUCAAGAAAAGUAACCGGGACCUGGUGUCUGCUCCUGUUGCCUUUGCCUCUUGUUCCCUAGUCACUAUGCGUGAGCACAUCUCCAUCCACGUUGGCCAGGCUCAUGGCCAGAUUGAUAAUCCCUGCUUAGAGCUCUGCUGCCUGGAACAUGGCAUCCAGCCCGAUGGCCAGAUGCCAAGUGACAAGACCACUGGGGGAGAUGACUCCUUUGACAUCAGUGAGACAGGUGCUGGCAAGCAUAUGCCCAGGGCAGUGUUUAUAGACCUGGAGCCCACAUUCAUUGACAAAGUUCACAUUGCCAUCUACCACCAGCUCUUCCACCCUGAGCAGCUCAUCACAGGCAAGGAAGAUGCUGCCAAUAACUAUGCCCAAGGGCACUAUAUUAUUGGCAAGGAGAUCAUUGGCUUCAUGUUGGAUCAAAUUCUCAAGCCGGCCAACCAGUGCACAAGUCUUCAGGGCUUCUUGGUUUUCCAUAGCUUUGGUUGGGGAACUGGUUCUGGGUUCACCUCCCUGCUGAUAGAAUGUCUCUCUGUUCAUUAUGGCAAGAAGUCCAAGUUGGAGUUCAUUUACUCAGUGUCCCAGGUUUCCACAGCUGUAGUUGAGCCCUAUAACUCCAUCCUCACCACCCACACUACCCUGCAGCGCUCUGAGUGUGCCUUUGUGGUAGACAUCUGUCAUAGAAACCUCAAUAUUGAGUGCUCAACCUACACUAACUGCCUUGUUCUUCAGAUUAUGCCCUCUAUCACUGCUUCCCCCAGAGUUGAUGGCUCCCUGAAUGCUGAUCUGACAGAAUUCCAGACCAACUUGGUGCCUAUCCCCACGUCCACUUUUUUCUGGCCACAUAUGCCCCUGUUUUCUCUGCUGAGAAAGCCUAUCAUGAACAGCUUUCUGUAGCAGAGAUCAUCAAUGCUUGAUUUGAGCCAGCCAACCAGAUGAUGAAAUAUGACCCUCGCCAUAACAAAUGAUGGCUUCCUGCCUGUUGCACUGUGGUGACACCAUAAAGAUGUCAAUGCUGCUGUUACCACCAUCAAGACCAAGCACAAUAUCCAGUUUGUGCAUUGGUGUCCCACUGGUUUCAAGGUUGGCAUUAAUUACCAGCUUCCCAUGGUGGUACCUGAUGAAGACCUGGCCAAGGUACAGAGAGCUGUGUGCAUGCUGGGCAAUACCACAGCCAUUGCUGAGGCCUGGGCUCACCUGGACCACAAGUUUUGACGUGGUGUAUGCCAACCAUGCCUUUGUUCACUGGUACAUUCAUGAGGGGGUAGAAGAAGGGUUUUCUGAGGCCCAUGGGGACAUAGCUGCCCUUGAGAAGGUUUUUGAGGAGGUCGGUAUAGAUUCUGUUAAAGGAGACAGCAAGAAAGAAGGAGAGAAAUAUUAA